RNAcentral lists this ribosomal RNA (523 nucleotides) under uncultured bacterium. RNAcentral describes it as "bacterial SSU rRNA". It matches the Rfam family "Bacterial small subunit ribosomal RNA", at positions 410 to 873 of the family's 1533-position model. The record is from RNAcentral.
GAAGGCUCUUGGGUUGUAAACCCCUUUUCUACUGGGAAGAAAGUUGUGAAAGCAACCUGACGGUACCAGAGGAAUCAGCAUCGGCUAACUCCGUGCCAGCAGCCGCGGUAAGACGGAGGAUGCAAGCGUUAUCCGGAAUGAUUGGGCGUAAAGCGUCCGCAGGUGGCAGUUCAAGUCUGCUGUCAAAGACCGGGGCUUAACUUCGGAAAGGCAGUGGAAACUGAACAGCUAGAGUAUGGUAGGGGCAGAGGGAAUUCCUGGUGUAGCGGUGAAAUGCGUAAGAGAUCAGGAAGAACAUCGGUGGCGAAGGCGCUCUGCUGGACCAUAACUGACACUCAGGGACGAAAGCUAGGGGAGCGAAUGGGAUGUCGACGCGGCCGCGGCCGCGUCGACGGAGGUGGGAGUGCAGUGACAACCAGGAGGUUUGCCUAGAAGCAGCCACCCUUAAAAGAGUGCGUAAUAGCUCACUGGUCUAGCGCUCCUGCGCCGAAAAUGAACGGGGCUAAGCAGUCUACCGAAGUCG